AGACUCCAACACGAACACUGUCUGAAGGUUGCCGUCUGAGUUUUCAUAUACGAAAAAUCGUCAAAACUUUCAACAACGGAUCUCUUGGUUCCGGCAUCGAUGAAGAACGCAGCGAA
This 116-nucleotide unclassified non-coding RNA is filed under the name uncultured fungus. RNAcentral's name for it is "partial contains 18S rRNA, ITS1, 5.8S rRNA". The stretch from base 65 to 116 matches the Rfam family "5.8S ribosomal RNA", at positions 1 to 52 of the family's 154-position model. The record is from RNAcentral. Lineage: Eukaryota; Fungi.